GGAUGAAUAUGAUGAAAGUUAUAGAAGGUAUUGAUGAAAUUUCUUCAUUUGAUUUAUAAUAGCCUUUGCUACGUUCUUUCUGAUUCGUUC
Coffea eugenioides is the source of this 90-nucleotide small nucleolar RNA. RefSeq annotates it as small nucleolar RNA R32/R81/Z41. Lineage: Eukaryota; Viridiplantae; Streptophyta; Magnoliopsida; Gentianales; Rubiaceae. The record is from RefSeq and is a predicted model, not a curated record. The transcript has a single exon.